RNAcentral lists this ribosomal RNA (794 nucleotides) under uncultured bacterium. RNAcentral describes it as "bacterial SSU rRNA". It matches the Rfam family "Bacterial small subunit ribosomal RNA", at positions 8 to 796 of the family's 1533-position model. The record is from RNAcentral.
AGAGUUUGAUCAUGGCUCAGAUUGAACGCUGGCGGCAUGCCUUACACAUGCAAGUCGAACGGCAGCACGGGAGCAAUCCUGGUGGCGAGUGGCGAACGGGUGAGUAAUACAUCGGAACGUGCCCAAUCGUGGGGGGAUAACGCAGCGAAAGCUGUGCUAAUACCGCAUGAGAUCUACGGAUGAAAGCAGGGGACCGCAAGGCCUUGCGCGAAUGGAGCGGCCGAUGGCAGAUUAGGUAGUUGGUGGGGUAAAGGCUCACCAAGCCGACGAUCUGUAGCUGGUCUGAGAGGACGACCAGCCACACUGGGACUGAGACACGGCCCAGACUCCUACGGGAGGCAGCAGUGGGGAAUUUUGGACAAUGGGCGCAAGCCUGAUCCAGCCAUGCCGCGUGCAGGAUGAAGGCCUUCGGGUUGUAAACUGCUUUUGUACGGAACGAAAAGUCUCUUUCUAAUAAAGAGGGAUCAUGACGGUACCGUAAGAAUAAGCACCGGCUAACUACGUGCCAGCAGCCGCGGUAAUACGUAGGGUGCAAGCGUUAAUCGGAAUUACUGGGCGUAAAGCGUGCGCAGGCGGUGAUGUAAGACAGUUGUGAAAUCCCCGGGCUCAACCUGGGAACUGCAUCUGUGACUGCAUUGCUGGAGUGCGGCAGAGGGGGAUGGAAUUCCGCGUGUAGCAGUGAAAUGCGUAGAUAUGCGGAGGAACACCGAUGGCGAAGGCAAUCCCCUGGGCCUGCACUGACGCUCAUGCACGAAAGCGUGGGGAGCAAACAGGAUUAGAUACCCUAGUAGUCC